RNAcentral lists this ribosomal RNA (440 nucleotides) under uncultured bacterium. RNAcentral describes it as "partial 16S ribosomal RNA". It matches the Rfam family "Bacterial small subunit ribosomal RNA", at positions 338 to 795 of the family's 1533-position model. The record is from RNAcentral.
CCUACGGGAGGCAGCAGUGGGGAAUAUUGCACAAUGGGGGAAACCCUGAUGCAGCGACGCCGCGUGAGUGAAGAAGUAAUUCGUUAUGUACAGCUCUAUCAGCAGGGAAGAAAAUGACGGUACCUGAGUAAGAAGCCCCGGCUAACUACGUGCCAGCAGCCGUGGUCAUACGUAGGGGGCAAGCGUUAUCCGGAUUUACUGGGUGUAAAGGGAGCGUAGACGGCAGUGCAAGUCUGGAUUGAAAGGCGGGGGCUCAACCCCCGGACUGCUCUGGAAACGGUACGGCGGGAGUGCAGGAGAGGUAAGUGGAAUGCCUAGUGUAGCGGUGAAAUGCGUAGAUAUUAGGAGGAACACCAGUGGCGAAGGCGGCUUACUGGACUGUAACUGACGUUGAGGCUCGAAAGCGUGGGGAGCAAACAGGAUUAGAUACCCUUGGAGUC